Non-coding RNA from Acanthosepion pharaonis, 114 nucleotides. NCBI's taxonomy places the organism in Eukaryota, Metazoa, Mollusca, Cephalopoda, Sepiida, Sepiidae. The record is from the annotation of a GenBank genome assembly.
UUACGGUCACAUCACCUUGGAACGCCGCUUCUCGUACGAUUACCAAAGUUAAGCAACUUUAAGCCUGGUCAGUACCUAGAUGGAUGACUACUUAGGAAUACCAGGUACUGUAAG